This 74-nucleotide microRNA precursor is filed under the name Vicugna pacos (alpaca). RNAcentral's name for it is "miRNA (ENSVPAG00000016008.1)". The record is from RNAcentral. Lineage: Eukaryota; Metazoa; Chordata; Mammalia; Artiodactyla; Camelidae.
UCCAGGCCUGUCUCUUUGGCUCAUGAUAAUGUCUAAAUAGCCAGUGAGGGUUUACUGUGUGCCAGGCACUGUGC